AAGAAGAAUGGUUAAAUACAUGGUGUUGGCGGGUUGCACAUAAUGAAUGGUGUUUUGUUUGUUUGUGUUGUAGAGAGAGAGAGAGAGAGAGAGAGAGAGAGAAAGAAAGAAAGAGGGUUGAUUUGAGAUAGCAGGAUUGUGGGGUAACUGAAAGUGGGGUAAUUGUUAUUGAUAGAAGGGAGAAAAGAAGGGAACUUUGUCUGAGAAAGAGUGAAGAAGAAGAAGAAGAAGAAGAAGAAGAAAGGGUUGAAGAGGGAGGUUGUGUGAGGGAAGUUGAAUUAUGUCUCUGUUUAUGUUUGACUUGGAUUUGAGAUGAUGAAGAUGGAGAAGAAGACGAAGAAAUGGUGUAUUUGUUGAAUUUGUUGUGAAAAUUGAAAAUGUUUUCUAUUUUAAUUAUUUCUUUGUUUUCACAUUAACAGGUUCUAUACGGCAGACAGUAGACACGAGUAGGUAGGAGGGAAAAGAAAUAUAAUAAAUCAAAUAGAUAAUAUGAUGAAAGAAAAAGAAACAUAAAGAGGUAUAAAAUAAGAUAUAGAUUGUAGAGUGUGGACAAAUGAGAGGUAAAGUAUAAAAUGAUUUAAAUGUCUAUCAAUAUUUGGUCAAAUAAACCUAUGAAAAUACAUUACCAUGACUUCACUAGGGAAG
This 645-nucleotide long non-coding RNA is filed under the name Vigna radiata. RNAcentral describes it as "long non-coding RNA (VRAD_LNC007732)". Lineage: Eukaryota; Viridiplantae; Streptophyta; Magnoliopsida; Fabales; Fabaceae. The record is from RNAcentral.